Molecule: long non-coding RNA, 758 nt
Organism: Nylanderia fulva
Lineage: Eukaryota; Metazoa; Arthropoda; Insecta; Hymenoptera; Formicidae
Source: RefSeq, a predicted model, not a curated record
CAAAAGUCCAAGUAUCUUCUAUAAUAAAUAUAUAAAAUUGUAAAUAAAUUUUAUUCAUUCUGAAGCGUUUAUACAAUCGAUAAAUCAAUUUGUGAGAUAAAGAGAGAUAAAGAGAGAAUCGCGUAUAAAUUUAAAAAUAUGCUAAUUAUCCAGGAGGUGAGAAGUGUAUAUAUUUCGCAUACAAAAAAUACGCUUUCAGAAUUUUCGAGAUGAGCGUUCAGAGGGAAGAAUCGAAAACGUACAUAUAUAUGUAUGUGUGGCAUUCAAUAAUCUGCAGAUCAAAGGGAAGCCCCGGAAUAGAGCUCGCGAUACGACGAACGAAACGCGUCACUGACAUUAUUACCCGUGUAUUUCAUGGUGUAUCGGCACCAAUGGUGUACCUGUUGGGGCGGCAGGUACCAAACACAAUGUAACGAGGGGAAGAAAUCGGCUGGGGUGGAUAGGGGGUGGGGAAGAUAAAGGGUGCCCCAAAACGCGCGCGCUACCCACGCGUGACUGGACACACGACUCGCUUUAAGGGGGUUCAAAUGUAUCAAUGAAGGCAGUUGGAUCACGAAAGCAAUUAGAGAGCAUUAUCCUGAGUAACUGCACAAACCCCUCAUUCUUUUCGCUAAAGAUAGACCAGGGAAGCUAAUAAGCGAUGUACACUCUGCUUAAUAUGUUUUCCUGCUCCUCUGUAUAGGGACAGGUGAAGCUGGAUAGAUUUUUACUCCCUCUCUGUGAAAACUUUUUGCAAUAAAAUAUAUAAUGAAAGAUUA